ACUCAACGUUACAUCUUUAAAAAGGGUGAGUUACUGUUGCAAAAGCGAGCCGUCUUCGAACGGAUACUUGACCAGCAUAUUAGCCCUAAACUUGUUUUUAAGGAGUUU
This 108-nucleotide small RNA is filed under the name Ulvibacter litoralis. RNAcentral describes it as "6S-Flavo RNA". It matches the Rfam family "6S-Flavo RNA". The record is from Rfam by way of RNAcentral. Lineage: Bacteria; Pseudomonadati; Bacteroidota; Flavobacteriia; Flavobacteriales; Flavobacteriaceae.